GGGCGCAUGGCUCAGUGGUAGAGCGCGUCACUGAUAAUGACGAGGUCCUUGGUUCGAUCCCAAGUGCGCCCA
This 72-nucleotide transfer RNA is filed under the name candidate division WS5 bacterium. Its description in RNAcentral is "tRNA-Ile". It matches the Rfam family "tRNA". Rfam says of the family: Transfer RNA (tRNA) molecules are approximately 80 nucleotides in length. The record is from RNAcentral.